Molecule: long non-coding RNA, 478 nt
Organism: Tachysurus fulvidraco (yellow catfish)
Lineage: Eukaryota; Metazoa; Chordata; Actinopteri; Siluriformes; Bagridae
Exons: 4
Source: RefSeq, a predicted model, not a curated record
GUAUAUUGUGAAAUAAGAUCUCUUAUACCCAGAAUAAGACUGGUUUUGUGUAAUUGUUUUCUUUUCUUGUUCUAGUCUAUUUUGUGUGUGCAUUUUAGAUAUUGUUGACAGUUAAUACUGACGGUGAAGACUGAAAAUACCUAUAGGCUGCAGUGUUUUGUGCUAAACGCGAGGCUGCAGCAACUUUCCUUUGGGUCUGGUAUGCAGUACAAGAAACUGUAAAAUGGAUCCAGACUUGAUAAAACGUGUGCAUUUUUACCAAGGACAAAUCAUGUCUCAUGAACAUACUAACCAGGACAGACGUUCUUGACUGGAAGCAGGACAUCAUUUUAAGUGUUGACCUGCAGCAUGAGGCAAUGAUAAAGGCUGUAGCAGCAAACAAAAGUGUACCAAUUAACAAAAUAGUUGUCAGACACUUGAUGAGAUUGCCGGAUCCAUCUAAGCUUAAAGAGGUUACCCUUUCAAGUGUCUUCAGUUA